GCUCAAAUUUGAAUCUCCUUCGGGCGAAUUGUAGUUUAGAGAAGCGUUUUCGGCUCGACGGUUGGUACAAGUUCUUUGGAACAAGACAUCAUAGAGGGUGAAAAUCCCGUCUUUGACCAAUCUUACGGCUUUGUGAUACGUUUUCCAAGAGCCGGUUUGUUUGGGAAUGCAGACCAAAAAGGGAGGUAAAUACCUUCUAAAGCUAAAUAUUGGCGAGAGACCGAUAGCGAACAAGUACCGUGAGGGAAAGAUGAAAAGAACUUUGAAAAGAGAGUGAAACAGUACGUGAAAUUGUCAAAAGGGAAACGUUUGAAAGCAGUAUUGCGGCCAGGAUUUCAGCCUCGGUGUAUUGUCCUGGUGGCGAGUCAACAUCAGUUCGGUUUGGAGCAAAAAGCCGUGUGAAGGUAGCCCUUUGGGUAUUAUAGCGCAUGGUCGUACUCUAGACGGGACUGAGGACAGCAGCGUUUUUGGCUUUGCACACUCGCGCUUGGGAUGUUGACGAAAUGGUUUUAAGCGACCCGUCUUGAAACACGGACCAAGGAGUCUAACAUAUAUGCAAGUAUUUGGGUGGCAAACCCUUGUGCGCAAUGAAGUGAAAAGGUGGGAUCAUUGAGCACCAUCGACCGCGCCAGAUUCCGAUCUCGGCGUGAGUAUGAGCAUAGAUGCUGGGACCCGAAAGAUGGUGAACUAUGCCUGAAUAGGGUGAAGCCAGAGG
RNAcentral lists this ribosomal RNA (715 nucleotides) under Kappamyces sp. PL-AUS-015. RNAcentral describes it as "eukaryotic LSU rRNA". It matches the Rfam family "Eukaryotic large subunit ribosomal RNA", at positions 107 to 858 of the family's 3401-position model. Lineage: Eukaryota; Fungi; Chytridiomycota; Chytridiomycetes; Rhizophydiales; Kappamycetaceae. The record is from RNAcentral.